This 339-nucleotide long non-coding RNA is filed under the name Capsicum annuum. RNAcentral describes it as "long non-coding RNA (CANN_LNC013497)". Lineage: Eukaryota; Viridiplantae; Streptophyta; Magnoliopsida; Solanales; Solanaceae. The record is from RNAcentral.
AACGAGCUAAUGGGAUACUAUUUCCGGCUGGAUUUAGCUUAGAGCUCAACAACAACGAAGAGAUUUCUGGGGAUUUUGGCGCUGGUUGGGUUAUUUCAACGAGCCGUCGUCGUUUCCGGUAUAGUUCUGAUGAUGGCAUCGUCGCGCCAACGAAAAACCACGAUGGCCGGUCUCUUCCGANNNNNNNNNNNNNNNACAAUCUCGUCGGCAGAACUCUCACGAGUCUCGCCCCUGUCUUCUCUCUUUCUCUCGACCUCUCACUCUCUUCUCACCAUCUCCCUGCGUGUAGUGAUGUGUGUAUGCAUUUGUGGUGGAGAAGAUGAGUGUAAAAUGGCUGCU